Non-coding RNA from Paramuricea clavata, 933 nucleotides. NCBI's taxonomy places the organism in Eukaryota, Metazoa, Cnidaria, Anthozoa, Malacalcyonacea, Plexauridae. The record is from the annotation of a GenBank genome assembly.
ACAACAUUUCGCAACGAAACUUUGGAAUAUUACUAAUUUUGUGAUGCUCUUUCAAGCUGUGAUGAAAUUUUUGUCUAGAUUUGUUUAGAUCAAAAUUUAGUCUAUAAUGCAAAUGGUACAUUGCCGCCAUCUUGGCUUCACUCUUUGGAAUCGAUCGAGUUCUCGCUCCAGAUUAUAUAUGGAGCUCUUUGGAGUUAACGAGCCUUAUAGCCUCUACCGCAAAUCAGCCAAUUAGCGUCGUGCACCAGCGCAGCGUUGUACCACUGUCCACAACAAAAAUACUAUACAAUGCUAUUGUACAGCCUUAUUUCGAUUAUUGCAGCCCGUUAUGGGAUAAUUGCGGAAUUGGCCUCAAAGAUAGGUUGCAAAAAUACCAAAAUCGUGCUGCAAGAGUAAUUACUGAGGAAACUUACGAUAUUCGGUCAUCUGAGUUACUCGAGAAUCUAAACUGGAAACCUCUCGAAGAAAGACGAAACUACCUUAAAUCGAUUUUCAUCCAUAAAAUUUUGAAUGGCCACAUCGUACCCAUGCAAUCUUAAAGAAGCAUUUCAAUAAUAAUGACCACCUAUGCCGAAAAGGGAAUUCGGCAAGAGGUGCUUCAGUUAUAACGGUGCCUUGCACUGGAAUAAUUUCCCCAUGAGGCAAAAAUUACUGAAUCCUUAAGCUAUUUCAAAUCAAUAUUAAAACAAAGAAUGAGUUGAAACUGGCUCGUGUAUGAUCGUGUAAUCGUAUUUUUUUGUUCCCUUUCCUGGAAUCUUGUCUUAUUUUAUCUUUUUUCAUAUUUCUUUAUUUUUUGUAAAUAGUUAAUUCUAUAUUUCAUGCCCCUCAUGGAAAUCAGCCUCCUAACGCUUGUUGAGGCUAGCGUGGUUAAGUAAUCUUCAUCCUGCAUUGCUGGAACAUUCUUGGGUCUGUUUGAACGUUUGCUGAAAGAUG